RNAcentral lists this ribosomal RNA (792 nucleotides) under uncultured Salinivibrio sp. RNAcentral describes it as "bacterial SSU rRNA". It matches the Rfam family "Bacterial small subunit ribosomal RNA", at positions 548 to 1340 of the family's 1533-position model. The record is from RNAcentral. Lineage: Bacteria; Pseudomonadati; Pseudomonadota; Gammaproteobacteria; Vibrionales; Vibrionaceae.
GAAUUACUGGGCGUAAAGCGCAUGCAGGCGGUUUGUUAAGUCAGAUGUGAAAGCCCGGGGCUCAACCUCGGAACCGCAUUUGAAACUGGCAGGCUAGAGUCUUGUAGAGGGGGGUAGAAUUUCAGGUGUAGCGGUGAAAUGCGUAGAGAUCUGAAGGAAUACCAGUGGCGAAGGCGGCCCCCUGGACAAAGACUGACGCUCAGAUGCGAAAGCGUGGGUAGCAAACAGGAUUAGAUACCCUGGUAGUCCACGCCGUAAACGCUGUCUACUUGGAGGUUGAGGUUUAGACUUUGGCUUUCGGCGCUAACGCAUUAAGUAGACCGCCUGGGGAGUACGGCCGCAAGGUUAAAACUCAAAUGAAUUGACGGGGGCCCGCACAAGCGGUGGAGCAUGUGGUUUAAUUCGAUGCAACGCGAAGAACCUUACCUACUCUUGACAUCCAGCGAAGCCUUUAGAGAUAGAGGUGUGCCUUCGGGAGCGCUGAGACAGGUGCUGCAUGGCUGUCGUCAGCUCGUGUUGUGAAAUGUUGGGUUAAGUCCCGCAACGAGCGCAACCCUUAUCCUUGUUUGCCAGCGAGUAAUGUCGGGAACUCCAGGGAGACUGCCGGUGAUAAACCGGAGGAAGGUGGGGACGACGUCAAGUCAUCAUGGCCCUUACGAGUAGGGCUACACACGUGCUACAAUGGCAGAUACAGAGGGCAGCGAAGCUGCGAAGUGGAGCGAAUCCCUUAAAGUUUGUCGUAGUCCGGAUUGGAGUCUGCAACUCGACUCCAUGAAGUCGGAAUCGCUAGUA